Molecule: long non-coding RNA, 1536 nt
Filed under: Bos indicus x Bos taurus (hybrid cattle)
Lineage: Eukaryota; Metazoa; Chordata; Mammalia; Artiodactyla; Bovidae
Description: lncRNA (ENSBIXG00000016395.1)
Source: RNAcentral
CUAGAGGGUUAAGUCCGAGCCUUCCUCUUUCCAUCUCAUUCGUGUCACACUUCUGUCCACAGAUGGAGUCUUUCCUCUUGAAUGACAUCGGCUCCAUGACAUGCAACAAAGCCAUCGAGAGAAUCAUCUCAGCGAUGACUGUUCAGCUUUGUCAUCUGAUCCUCUCAAUGGAGAAAAAAGGCAUGGAGAAUGAAGUGUUUGCCUCUUUGGAGAAGACGGCAGAGGAGCUGGUUCAAGCUAGUGAAGGGUUUGUGCAAGUUGCCCAAAGGAAAGCAGAAAUGCUUAAAAAAAUACAGAAACAUAACUCUGCUAACAGCAUUGAUAUCUACAGAAGAACAAAUCAUUUGAUGUUACUUUCUUUAUUAACUUACUCACAUUGGCCAGUACUCCAUCCUCAUAUAGGCUCAGACUGGAAGAUGGUGGGGAUUCAGUCAUUAAGAGUUCAUCAAGUAACAUGCAAACAACAGUCCUUUCUUCUGGUUUCUACCUGUAAAAGAUGCCUGGUUGUCCAUAAAAAUAAUAAUCAGCUUAUGAUUAAAUGCAUCCACAUCUCUACAUAUAUCCAAAUAACAAUUUUGCCUUUUCAUACUGUUCAUCGGGUUCCCAAGGCAAGAAUACUGAAGUGGUGAAAAGCUGGCUUAAAACUCAACAUUCAAAAAACAAAGAUCAUGGCAUUUGGUCCCAUCACUUCAUGGCAAAUAGAUGGGGAAACAAUGGAAACAGUGACUUUAUUUUUUGGGCUCCAAAAUCACUGCAGGUGGUAACUGCAGCCAUGAAAUUAAAAGACACUUGCUCAUUGGAAGAAAAGCUAUGACCAACCUAGACAGCAUAUUAUAAAGCAGAGGCAUUAUUUGCUAUCUGUCUAUUCAAAGCUAUGGUUUUCCCAGUAGUCAUGUAUGAAAGUGAGAAUUGGACCAUAAAGAAAGCUGAGCCCUGAAGAAGUGAUGCUUUUGAAGUGUGGUGUUAGACAAGACUUUUGAGAGUCCCUUGGACUGCAAGGAAAUGAAACCAGUCCAUCCUAAAGAAAAUCAGUCCUGAAUAUUCAUUGGAAGGACUGAUACUGAAGCUGAAGCUCCAAUACUUUGGCCACCUGAUGCAAAGAACCGACUCAUUGGAAAAGACACUGAUCCAGGACAAGACUGAAGGCAGGAGAAGAAGGGGGUGACAGAGGGUGAGAUGGUUGGAUGGCAUCACUGAUUUGAUGCACUUGAGGUUGAGCAAGCUCUGGGAGUUGGUGAUGGACAGGGAAGCCUGGCAUGCUGCAGUCCAUAGGGCUGCAAAGAGUUGGACACGACUGAGUGAAUGAACUGAACUGAAAUAGCAAUUUUAAAUCUGGAUAAUUUAAAAGAUUUUUUCAAUUGACUAAUUUCAACUGGAAAUCCCAUUUGAGAACUGAUAAUAUUAAUAAGCCGUUGACAACUGAUGUUAGUUAAACCCAUAUUGUUAUUUCUUUGAACAAGGAUUAAAUCAGUAAGAACAAGGAUGGAAAACAAGCAAGCAAAUAAACACAAGGCAUGUGUGCCUUUGUAUUUAUGA